Molecule: ribosomal RNA, 2902 nt
Filed under: Klebsiella pneumoniae
Lineage: Bacteria; Pseudomonadati; Pseudomonadota; Gammaproteobacteria; Enterobacterales; Enterobacteriaceae
Description: 23S ribosomal RNA
Rfam family: Bacterial large subunit ribosomal RNA
Source: RNAcentral
GGUUAAGCGACUAAGCGUACACGGUGGAUGCCCUGGCAGUCAGAGGCGAUGAAGGACGUGCUAAUCUGCGAAAAGCGUCGGUAAGGUGAUAUGAACCGUUACAGCCGGCGAUGUCCGAAUGGGGAAACCCAGUGUGAUUCGUCACACUAUCGUUAACUGAAUACAUAGGUUAACGAGGCGAACCGGGGGAACUGAAACAUCUAAGUACCCCGAGGAAAAGAAAUCAACCGAGAUUCCCCCAGUAGCGGCGAGCGAACGGGGAGCAGCCCAGAGUCUGAAUCAGCUUGUGUGUUAGUGGAACGGUCUGGAAAGUCCGACGGUACAGGGUGAUAGUCCCGUACACCAAAAUGCACAGGCUGUGAACUCGAAGAGUAGGGCGGGACACGUGGUAUCCUGUCUGAAUAUGGGGGGACCAUCCUCCAAGGCUAAAUACUCCUGACUGACCGAUAGUGAACCAGUACCGUGAGGGAAAGGCGAAAAGAACCCCGGCGAGGGGAGUGAAAAAGAACCUGAAACCGUGUACGUACAAGCAGUGGGAGCACCUUCGGGUGUGACUGCGUACCUUUUGUAUAAUGGGUCAGCGACUUAUAUUCUGUAGCAAGGUUAACCGUAUAGGGGAGCCGCAGGGAAACCGAGUCUUAACUGGGCGUUAAGUUGCAGGGUAUAGACCCGAAACCCGGUGAUCUAGCCAUGGGCAGGUUGAAGGUUGGGUAACACUAACUGGAGGACCGAACCGACUAAUGUUGAAAAAUUAGCGGAUGACUUGUGGCUGGGGGUGAAAGGCCAAUCAAACCGGGAGAUAGCUGGUUCUCCCCGAAAGCUAUUUAGGUAGCGCCUCGUGAAUUCAUCUUCGGGGGUAGAGCACUGUUUCGGCUAGGGGGUCAUCCCGACUUACCAACCCGAUGCAAACUACGAAUACCGAAGAAUGUUAUCACGGGAGACACACGGCGGGUGCUAACGUCCGUCGUGAAGAGGGAAACAACCCAGACCGCCAGCUAAGGUCCCAAAGUCAUGGUUAAGUGGGAAACGAUGUGGGAAGGCACAGACAGCCAGGAUGUUGGCUUAGAAGCAGCCAUCAUUUAAAGAAAGCGUAAUAGCUCACUGGUCGAGUCGGCCUGCGCGGAAGAUGUAACGGGGCUAAACCAUGCACCGAAGCUGCGGCAGCGACACUAUGUGUUGUUGGGUAGGGGAGCGUUCUGUAAGCCUGCGAAGGUGUGCUGUGAGGCAUGCUGGAGGUAUCAGAAGUGCGAAUGCUGACAUAAGUAACGAUAAAGCGGGUGAAAAGCCCGCUCGCCGGAAGACCAAGGGUUCCUGUCCAACGUUAAUCGGGGCAGGGUGAGUCGACCCCUAAGGCGAGGCCGAAAGGCGUAGUCGAUGGGAAACAGGUUAAUAUUCCUGUACUUGGUGUUACUGCGAAGGGGGGACGGAGAAGGCUAUGUUAGCCGGGCGACGGUUGUCCCGGUUUAAGCAUGUAGGCUGGUUGUCCAGGCAAAUCCGGAUAAUCAAGGCUGAGGUGUGAUGACGAGGCACUACGGUGCUGAAGUAACAAAUGCCCUGCUUCCAGGAAAAGCCUCUAAGCAUCAGGUAACAUCAAAUCGUACCCCAAACCGACACAGGUGGUCAGGUAGAGAAUACCAAGGCGCUUGAGAGAACUCGGGUGAAGGAACUAGGCAAAAUGGUGCCGUAACUUCGGGAGAAGGCACGCUGGUGUGUAGGUGAAGUCCCUGCGGAUGGAGCUGAGACCAGUCGAAGAUACCAGCUGGCUGCAACUGUUUAUUAAAAACACAGCACUGUGCAAACACGAAAGUGGACGUAUACGGUGUGACGCCUGCCCGGUGCCGGAAGGUUAAUUGAUGGGGUUAUCCGUAAGGAGAAGCUCUUGAUCGAAGCCCCGGUAAACGGCGGCCGUAACUAUAACGGUCCUAAGGUAGCGAAAUUCCUUGUCGGGUAAGUUCCGACCUGCACGAAUGGCGUAAUGAUGGCCAGGCUGUCUCCACCCGAGACUCAGUGAAAUUGAACUCGCUGUGAAGAUGCAGUGUACCCGCGGCAAGACGGAAAGACCCCGUGAACCUUUACUAUAGCUUGACACUGAACAUUGAGCCUUGAUGUGUAGGAUAGGUGGGAGGCUUUGAAGCGUGGACGCCAGUCUGCGUGGAGCCAACCUUGAAAUACCACCCUUUAAUGUUUGAUGUUCUAACGUUGGCCCCUUACCGGGGUUGCGGACAGUGUCUGGUGGGUAGUUUGACUGGGGCGGUCUCCUCCCAAAGCGUAACGGAGGAGCACGAAGGUUAGCUAAUCCUGGUCGGACAUCAGGAGGUUAGUGCAAUGGCAUAAGCUAGCUUGACUGCGAGCGUGACGGCGCGAGCAGGUGCGAAAGCAGGUCAUAGUGAUCCGGUGGUUCUGAAUGGAAGGGCCAUCGCUCAACGGAUAAAAGGUACUCCGGGGAUAACAGGCUGAUACCGCCCAAGAGUUCAUAUCGACGGCGGUGUUUGGCACCUCGAUGUCGGCUCAUCACAUCCUGGGGCUGAAGUAGGUCCCAAGGGUAUGGCUGUUCGCCAUUUAAAGUGGUACGCGAGCUGGGUUUAGAACGUCGUGAGACAGUUCGGUCCCUAUCUGCCGUGGGCGCUGGAGAAUUGAGGGGGGCUGCUCCUAGUACGAGAGGACCGGAGUGGACGCAUCACUGGUGUUCGGGUUGUCAUGCCAAUGGCACUGCCCGGUAGCUAAAUGCGGAAGAGAUAAGUGCUGAAAGCAUCUAAGCACGAAACUUGCCCCGAGAUGAGUUCUCCCUGAGACUUUAAGUCUCCUGAAGGAACGUUGAAGACGACGACGUUGAUAGGCCGGGUGUGUAAGCGCAGCGAUGCGUUGAGCUAACCGGUACUAAUGAACCGUGAGGCUUAACCUU